GAUGAACGCUGGCGGCGUGCCUAAUACAUGCAAGUCGAGCGAACGGACGAGAAGCUUGCUUCUCUGAUGUUAGCGGCGGACGGGUGAGUAACACGUGGAUAACCUACCUAUAAGACUGGGAUAACUUCGGGAAACCGGAGCUAAUACCGGAUGAUAUUUUGAACCGCAUGGUUCAAAAGUGAAAGACGGUCUUGCUGUCACUUAUAGAUGGAUCCGCGCUGCAUUAGCUAGUUGGUAAGGUAACGGCUUACCAAGGCAACGAUGCAUAGCCGACCUGAGAGGGUGAUCGGCCACACGGGAACUGAGACAGGCUCCAGACUCAUACGGAGGGCAGAAGUGGGGAAUCUUCCGAAAGGGGCGAAGGCCUGACGGAGCAACGCCGCGUGAGUGAUGAAGGUCUUGGGAGCGUAAAACUUUUUUAUGAGGGAAAAAAAUAUGUGUAAGUAACUGUGCACAUCUGGACGGUACCUAAAAAGAAAGCCGCGCCUAACUACGU
Molecule: ribosomal RNA, 496 nt
Filed under: uncultured bacterium
Lineage: Bacteria
Description: partial 16S ribosomal RNA
Rfam family: Bacterial small subunit ribosomal RNA
Source: RNAcentral